Molecule: long non-coding RNA, 249 nt
Filed under: Populus trichocarpa (black cottonwood)
Lineage: Eukaryota; Viridiplantae; Streptophyta; Magnoliopsida; Malpighiales; Salicaceae
Description: long non-coding RNA (PTRI_LNC002854)
Source: RNAcentral
UGGCAUUAAUUACCACUUAAUUUCUUUGGCAGUAUACAGUAACCCAGAACUUGAUUUUAAGACCAAAUUUCGCAUAGGAGAUUUUUGGGAUGCACAUCGUAGUAGUUAUAGCCAAUGUGUUUCUCAAUGAUGCAAUAUAUCCAUCAAAAUGGGAAGAAGAAAAGACCUCAGACACCAUCAGAAAUUAAACUUAAUCCAUUAACAAAUGUUUUGAACAAUGAUAGGAAGGAGAACUAGUAGAUCCACAAA